GACAGAGGUGCCGAGCGUUAGGCGGAAUCACUGGGCUUAAAGCGUGUGUAGGCGGAUGGGUAAGUACCUUGUGAAAUCCCACGGCUCAACCGUGGAACUGCUCGGUAUACUGCCCGUCUUGAGCCAGCUAGGGGCAACCGGAACAAACGGUGGAGCGGUGAAAUGCGUAGAUAUCGAGAGGAACACCAGAGGUGAAGACGGGUUGCUGGGCUGACACUGACGCUGAGGCGCGAAAGCCAGGGGAGCAAACGGG
This 253-nucleotide ribosomal RNA is filed under the name uncultured bacterium. RNAcentral's name for it is "partial 16S ribosomal RNA". It matches the Rfam family "Bacterial small subunit ribosomal RNA", at positions 524 to 776 of the family's 1533-position model. The record is from RNAcentral.